Molecule: long non-coding RNA, 2091 nt
Filed under: Gouania willdenowi (blunt-snouted clingfish)
Lineage: Eukaryota; Metazoa; Chordata; Actinopteri; Blenniiformes; Gobiesocidae
Description: lncRNA (ENSGWIG00000000909.1)
Source: RNAcentral
GUUCAGCCUCCGUCCAGGCGGUGGCGGUAGAUCAAAUCACAUGUACUCCUGAGGGUAGGGGGGAGGUCAGUGAACCCGAACAACCCGGGUGUGAAAGAAGCAGCCUGAGCGGGGUUUGGACGCUGAUCUUUUCUUUAACAUUAUUCUGAUGCGACAUGGAUUGCUUCUCCUAGAGUUUUUAUUUUAUCCAGAGUUAACGCAGUUAAGUCUGAAACGGUCAUUUUGUUUCACCGUUACCUCGUUGGAAAAGUGGACUCUUCCGUGCUAAAGAUUUAGGACACGCGGUUUCAUCCGAGCUCCUGUUGAAGGAUGUCCUCGAGGCAGUGGGACAACUACGCCGACUGGCUGGAGGAGAAAUCCCGAGAUUUACGGCGCGAUUCCUCCCAGAAAUAUUACAGAGAAGGACACGAAUACAGGAGUAAGGAGCACAGGAAAGAUCCGUCUGGCAGGGACCGGAAGAGGAGUACGGAGCGGAGACGAGCGUCCUCGCCUGACCGGGAAGCUUUAGAUAAGAAAUGGUUAGCUGAGGAGAAGAAUUACAGAUACAGGAGGGAGUCUGUGGGAGGGAAACAAUCACUAGAGACUUACAGAGAUACAGACCUCAGGUAUAGAAGAACGUCUCCAGAUUCCAGACACGCGUAUCGCCACCACGACGCUACAAGCAAACAACAACAAGGCAGUGAUCCGACCUACAGGAGGUUGACUGAUGGUCACAGAGGUGGCGACAGGAGUUACGAUUACCCAGUGAAUCACUCUGCAAAGCAGAGAAAUGUGAAACCCAGAGAAAGGUCAAACAGUCCGUCUGCAGCAACGUUUCGUGAAGACCGUCCUAAAGAUAGAUGUAAAUAUGGACAGAAUGGAUCUGACAAGCAGAGUUUUCCCAGUGACGUCUCGUUCUCCCAUCGUGCCUCCGUUCCUCAGGAGUCGUCCUCUAAAGGUUUCGAGCGUUUCCUCGACGUGCUCAACAAAGGCGUGAAUGUAAACCUGCUCACUAAAAUAGUUACUCAGACUCCCACCGGGGCCGAAGCUCCUCCCCCUCCGUCACCAGUCAUCAGUAGUAGUCGUGCACCAUGUCACCCGUCGUCUGGUAGCCGAGCUGAAACGGUAGCUUGUGAUCCACACAGACCAGUGUCUCCACAGCUUAGGCUAAACAGGUUCCGCCCCCCCGAUGAAGAGCCUCCCCCUCGGAGCUACUCAAGAUCCAGAUCAAACUCUCCAUCAAACCAAGCAGAAACUGUCCUGACCCCAGAGGAAGAGCACAAACGCCGUCAGAUGCAGGACGUCCUGCAGGCCAUCGGUGUGGAUCUGGGGCUUGAGGAGCUGGGACAGAUGUCCCAUCGCAUCCAGGAGAGGCUUUACGGGAGGCGGGACAGCAACCCGGGCCGUAAACCGAGCCGGGAGAGCAGCACGUGGAGGGAGCGCUCACCUCCACCACGCAGCCGCUCGUCAUCCUCCAGCAGGUCCAGAUUCACGCCGUUACCUCCCGACAGUUAUGGGAAACAGCGAAGAUCGCACAGCAACCAGAGAGAGGAACCGGAGCAGGAUCGUCAUCAUCAGUCGGACCCGGAGACCAGUGAGCACCCGUCGUUCAAAUGUGACCCGGAAACGAGCGGUGGCGGAGGAGGUUCUUUGUGGUCCAAGGCGUCGCAUUUCACUCCUCCUCCAUUUCUCUGGAAUCCUUCUGCCACUACCCAGUGGAAUCCUGCUCCAGUUUCCUCACCUUCCAUCCUCCCAAACUGGAGUUCUCCCCUUGUAACUCCCCCCGUCCCCCAGUGGAGUCCUGCUCCUCCUGCUGCUGUAUCUAAGCCUCCUGCUCCUGCUCCACUCAUUCCUCCCUACUCACCCAUGCUCUACCCGCCCCCUCUUCCCCCUCCACGCUUUUACCCCCCUCCCCCACCGCCUCUCGGUUCUUUACCCCAAAUCCAACCUUAUUCUAAUGCUUUUUCAGCCGCCAGGCCAUUGUUUUCUCAAACUGUAACCAAACCCAAAGGGCAGCCAAGGAACCGCUGCCUUCACGAGAUCCACAUAAAAAAAUAUUGAAGACUGACACACGAUAAUAAAUCUGACUCUAAAAAAAUGACGAAUUUCUUC